AUUGAACGCUGGCGGCAGGCCUAACACAUGCAAGUCGAGCGGAUGAGAGGAGCUUGCUCCUCGAUUCAGCGGCGGACGGGUGAGUAAUGCCUAGGAAUCUGCCCAGUAGUGGGGGACAACGUUUCGAAAGGAACGCUAAUACCGCAUACGUCCUACGGGAGAAAGUGGGGGAUCUUCGGACCUUACGCUAUUGGAUGAGCCUAGGUCGGAUUAGCUAGUUGGUAGGGUAAAGGCCUACCAAGGCGACGAUCCGUAACUGGUCUGAGAGGAUGAUCAGUAACACUGGAACUGAGACACGGUCCAGACUCCUACGGGAGGCAGCAGUGGGGAAUAUUGGACAAUGGGCGCAAGCCUGAUCCAGCCAUGCCGCGUGUGUGAAGAAGGCCCUCGGGUCGUAAAGCACUUUAAGUUGGGAGGAAGGGCUUACAGCGAAUACCUGUGAGUUUUGACGUUACCGACAGAAUAAGCACCGGCUAACUUCGUGCCAGCAGCCGCCGUAA
Molecule: ribosomal RNA, 500 nt
Filed under: uncultured bacterium
Lineage: Bacteria
Description: partial 16S ribosomal RNA
Rfam family: Bacterial small subunit ribosomal RNA
Source: RNAcentral